UGGCGGACGGGUGAGUAAUGUCUGGGAAACUGCCUGAUGGAGGGGGAUAACUACUGGAAACGGUAGCUAAUACCGCAUAACGUCGCAAGACCAAAGAGGGGGACCUUCGGGCCUCUUGCCAUCGGAUGUGCCCAGAUGGGAUUAGCUAGUAGGUGGGGUAAAGGCUCACCUAGGCGACGACCCCUAGCUGGUCUGAGAGGAUGACCAGCCACACUGGAACUGAGACACGGUCCAG
RNAcentral lists this ribosomal RNA (235 nucleotides) under uncultured bacterium. Its description in RNAcentral is "partial 16S ribosomal RNA". It matches the Rfam family "Bacterial small subunit ribosomal RNA", at positions 96 to 334 of the family's 1533-position model. The record is from RNAcentral.